ACAAGGCCACCAUUAUACUGCUUGGCUUCCCCCUCAGAUUUCUUUCUGUCUCUUGGCUGUUUCCAGAGGCUAGGUAAGGACCAGAGAGCCUUGGGGAGUGGAGAGGGGAGUCCCAAAUCCCUCCUUUUAGCAGUUGCUGAUUAUUGAAUCUGGGAAAUUGGGACGGGAGAGAGAAAUUCAGAAGAAGGCUCUGAGCGGGGAGGCUGUCUCCCCCUCAUUUGCGUGCCAGUGUGGAGGAUUGAGAAAGGCCCCGAGUGUGUGCCUGUGAAAUUUUACGGAUGUCCAAGUCCUUGGCUAGACUGUGACGUUAGUGAUGCACCAGGACCUGGCCGCUCAUCCUCCCGUGUACCCACUUCAGUGCCCGAUGCCCCUUACUUGCUUAGCGAAGCUUGUAUGGAAUAGCCAGAGAAGCAGAUGCGUGACUCUGAAGGGAGGCACCACUCCAAACGCUAUUUUAAGUUUGGAACCUAGCGUUCUCAAAUUUUUUUGUGCUGCUCAUCAGUUCUUGUCACCUGUGGAUGGCUGACUCAAGGGGUACCACAAAACCAUAAAACCAUUAAAUUGCAAGACCACAAAA
This is a long non-coding RNA of Mus musculus (house mouse), 577 nucleotides long. RefSeq annotates it as predicted gene, 46158. The record is from RefSeq and is a predicted model, not a curated record. NCBI's taxonomy places the organism in Eukaryota, Metazoa, Chordata, Mammalia, Rodentia, Muridae. The transcript is spliced from 2 exons.